AUGGGUAUUGCUUCUGUACCUUAUGAAUGUACAUCGUCGUUCACGGAAUCGUUCUCUUGGUUAGUGUUGAGCUGUUGUGUAGCUUCACCAUUGGAAACUGUUACUUAUCUAUUCAGCUUCCUUUUUCUAUCUUUUUUUUUCUCGAGAAAACGCAAAGACUUUGCGUUUCUUUCAUUGAAAAGUGGGGGAACAGGUUACACGCCUCCUAGGAUAUCUGUCUAUGAAUUAAUGCACAAACUUCUAAGCCUCAAGAUGUUGAUUCUAUCCAAUUUUGGUAUAGUUAUCUUAAAUUUAUUGAUCUUUGUAUUGCUGCUCAAUGUUCUAAGCAUGGAUAUAAUGACUAUGUCUCAUUUUGUUAUUAUUGCCAUGUAA
Molecule: ribosomal RNA, 372 nt
Filed under: Triticum aestivum (bread wheat)
Lineage: Eukaryota; Viridiplantae; Streptophyta; Magnoliopsida; Poales; Poaceae
Description: partial small subunit ribosomal RNA
Source: RNAcentral